This 541-nucleotide ribosomal RNA is filed under the name uncultured bacterium. Its description in RNAcentral is "bacterial SSU rRNA". It matches the Rfam family "Bacterial small subunit ribosomal RNA", at positions 774 to 1316 of the family's 1533-position model. The record is from RNAcentral.
AGUAAAUAGAUACCCAGGUAGUCCACGCCGUAAACGAUGAGUACUAGGUGUAGGAGGUAUCGACUCCUUCUGUGCCGCAGUUAAACACAAUAAGUACUCCGCCUGGGAAGUACGGUCGCAAGAUUAAAACUCAAGGAAUUGACGGGGGCCCGCACAAGCAGCGGAGCAUGUGGUUUAAUUCGAAGCAACGCGAAGAACCUUACCUAGACUUGACAUCCCCUGAAUAACGUAGAGAUACGCGAAGCCCUUCGGGGCAGGGAGACAGGUGGUGCAUGGUUGUCGUCAGCUCGUGUCGUGAGAUGUUGGGUUAAGUCCCGCAACGAGCGCAACCCUUAUCAUUAGUUGCUACCAUUUAGUUGAGCACUCUAGUGAGACUGCCCGGGUUAACCGGGGGGAAGGCGGGGAUGACGUCAAAUCAUCAUGCCCCUUAUGUCUAGGGCUACACACGUGCUACAAUGGUGAGAACAACGAGAUGCAAUACCGCGAGGUGGAGCAAAACUUCAAAACUCAUCUCAGUUCGGAUUGUAGGCUGAAACUCGCC